Molecule: ribosomal RNA, 1362 nt
Filed under: Paenarthrobacter ilicis
Lineage: Bacteria; Bacillati; Actinomycetota; Actinomycetes; Micrococcales; Micrococcaceae
Description: bacterial SSU rRNA
Rfam family: Bacterial small subunit ribosomal RNA
Source: RNAcentral
GUCGUACCGAUGGAUACGCCACGCUUUGCUGGGGGAUUAGUGGCGAACGGGUGAGUAACACGUGAGUAACCUGCCCUUGACUCUGGGAUAAGCCUGGGAAACUGGGUCUAAUACCGGAUACGACCAUCUGGCGCAUGUCAUGGUGGUGGAAAGCUUUUGUGGUUUUGGAUGGACUCGCGGCCUAUCAGCUUGUUGGUGGGGUAAUGGCCUACCAAGGCGACGACGGGUAGCCGGCCUGAGAGGGUGACCGGCCACACUGGGACUGAGACACGGCCCAGACUCCUACGGGAGGCAGCAGUGGGGAAUAUUGCACAAUGGGCGCAAGCCUGAUGCAGCGACGCCGCGUGAGGGAUGACGGCCUUCGGGUUGUAAACCUCUUUCAGUAGGGAAGAAGCCGUAAGGUGACGGUACCUGCAGAAGAAGCGCCGGCUAACUACGUGCCAGCAGCCGCGGUAAUACGUAGGGCGCAAGCGUUAUCCGGAAUUAUUGGGCGUAAAGAGCUCGUAGGCGGUUUGUCGCGUCUGCUGUGAAAGACCGGGGCUCAACUCCGGUUCUGCAGUGGGUACGGGCAGACUAGAGUGCAGUAGGGGAGACUGGAAUUCCUGGUGUAGCGGUGAAAUGCGCAGAUAUCAGGAGGAACACCGAUGGCGAAGGCAGGUCUCUGGGCUGUAACUGACGCUGAGGAGCGAAAGCAUGGGGAGCGAACAGGAUUAGAUACCCUGGUAGUCCAUGCCGUAAACGUUGGGCACUAGGUGUGGGGGACAUUCCACGUUUUCCGCGCCGUAGCUAACGCAUUAAGUGCCCCGCCUGGGGAGUACGGCCGCAAGGCUAAAACUCAAAGGAAUUGACGGGGGCCCGCACAAGCGGCGGAGCAUGCGGAUUAAUUCGAUGCAACGCGAAGAACCUUACCAAGGCUUGACAUGAACCGGUAAUACCUGGAAACAGGUGCCCCGCUUGCGGUCGGUUUACAGGUGGUGCAUGGUUGUCGUCAGCUCGUGUCGUGAGAUGUUGGGUUAAGUCCCGCAACGAGCGCAACCCUCGUUCUAUGUUGCCAGCGGUUCGGCCGGGGACUCAUAGGAGACUGCCGGGGUCAACUCGGAGGAAGGUGGGGACGACGUCAAAUCAUCAUGCCCCUUAUGUCUUGGGCUUCACGCAUGCUACAAUGGCCGGUACAAAGGGUUGCGAUACUGUGAGGUGGAGCUAAUCCCAAAAAGCCGGUCUCAGUUCGGAUUGGGGUCUGCAACUCGACCCCAUGAAGUCGGAGUCGCUAGUAAUCGCAGAUCAGCAACGCUGCGGUGAAUACGUUCCCGGGCCUUGUACACACCGCCCGUCAAGUCACGAAAGUUGGUAACACCCGAAGCC